GCAUCUGCUGAACUCCAAUCAAUCCGUCGUUUCUGGUACUCUUAAAAACAAAGGAUAAACAUAAUCUCAAUAUAUUUUCUCAAACAUAUUCCGUGCAUUGUAUAUUACAGUAUAACCUAAUAUAAUAAUAUAAUAUUAUAGUAUAGAGUACUAUAAACAUGUAAAAAACAUACGAACUAGGGAGUACAUAAUCAAGAUCUUUAAUAAACAGAGACACAUAUUAUUAAACAAGUCAAUAACGAAAACAUUAGUAUCAAAGCAGGUUCAUAAAUAUUCGAAAUAAAAAGACAAAUAUGAGAGGAAUCUGGUGGUUGGCGAUAGCAUACCAUAUUUUUAUACAUCAUGGGAAACGUUCUAAAUACGCCAUGGAAUUCUUACCUGAUAACGUGGAGAACUCAUGCGUAUUUAAUACGGAAUACAUAAUGCCUAUUAAAGGCCUUUUUCGUGGCUUCGAUUUCCACAUUCCAUCUUUGAAGUGUUCCUCGUCCCACAGGUCUUUAGGUAGGCCUACUAAGCUUCCAGGCACCUUGUUUUCCGAGGAUAAGUGGCUGCGGCGCAGCACUUGUUUCUGCCUCAGCCCUGGUAUUACGUUUUCUUUCGCCAUUAAUUGGUGCAUAAAUUUCUUUCGCCAAUUAUCCGACAGAGAUUCCAGCUGUGCCGUUUGUCAGGGUUUAGUGACUUAAGCGACACUUGACAGCGAAAAAUUUGCACUGUGUGUUCCUGUGAAUUUCUACAUUUUCUCCAUCGUUUCCUUUCUUUUUGGUAAAUCGGAUGUGAAUUUUUGAAGCGUCUCCAUAUCUCGUGGUUUGAACACGAGAAUUUUCAAUCGGAAUAAGAUAAAAUACGAACUUUGGUAAAUUGAAUACGAAUUUUACAACGUUUUUGUAAUUCUUACUUUCAGUACAGCUUUAGAUUGUAAAUGAAGCUUCAGCUUGGAUUGAUCAAGAGAAAUCAAAUAUAUGUGCAAUAAAGUUGUAUAUAAUAACUGGACUGUGGAUGUUCAUGCAAAUCCGAUUUUUAUAAACGCAACUAAAGAAACAUAAAGAUUCUUUUCACAUACUAAAUACACGUCGCAAUGAGAAUGAGAUUUCGCGUAUUUUAUUUGAUAUAUCUCUAUAUUUUGUAUAUUUCAUACAAUUUUUCGUUUUUACGUUUCCCACAAACGUAUAAACAUCGAAAUAACGAUAUUACAUUAAUUUACAGUAUAUAAAUUAGAACAAAC
Molecule: unclassified non-coding RNA, 1222 nt
Filed under: Bombus terrestris (buff-tailed bumblebee)
Lineage: Eukaryota; Metazoa; Arthropoda; Insecta; Hymenoptera; Apidae
Description: misc RNA ENSBTSG00005022783.1
Source: RNAcentral